GGGGAAUUUUCCGCAAUGGGCGAAAGUCUGACGGAGCGACGCCGCGUGGAGGAUGACGGCUUUCGGGUCGUAAACUCCUUUUGCCAAGCCCUUCACAGCUUGGAGAAUAAGCCUUUACUAACUACGUGCCAGAAGUCUCGGUAAUACGUAGGAGGCAAGCAUUAUCCGGAUUAACUGGGCGUAAAGCGUGCGUAGGCGGUUUCUUAAGUCGCAUUUUAAAGCCUGUGGCUUAACCACAGAUUUGGAUGCGAUACUGGGUUACUUGAGGAAUGUUCGGGGUAUCGGAACAGUUGGUGUAGCGGUGAAAUGCGUUGAUAUCAACUGGAACACCGAAGGCGAAGGCAGAUACCUGGAAUUUUCCUGACGCUGAGGUACGAAAGCUAGGGUAGCGAAAGGGAUUAGAUACCCCUGUAGUC
This 416-nucleotide ribosomal RNA is filed under the name uncultured cyanobacterium. RNAcentral's name for it is "bacterial SSU rRNA". It matches the Rfam family "Bacterial small subunit ribosomal RNA", at positions 356 to 795 of the family's 1533-position model. Lineage: Bacteria; Bacillati; Cyanobacteriota. The record is from RNAcentral.